Molecule: long non-coding RNA, 274 nt
Filed under: Lathyrus oleraceus (garden pea)
Lineage: Eukaryota; Viridiplantae; Streptophyta; Magnoliopsida; Fabales; Fabaceae
Description: Pisum sativum (pea) long non-coding RNA (PSAT_LNC028818)
Source: RNAcentral
CCAACGCCAUCUCCCAAUCUUGAAUUCCUUGUAUUCGAAGCAGAGGAAGAUGAUGUUGAAGGGGAUUCCUGAUGAGAUCACCCGACUUCUUGAGCACGAAAAGGAGCUCAUUCAGCUGUAUCAUGAGAAUCAGCAAACCAGUCAAACUGGGGCAUUACAAAUGUAAUGUAAAAAAAAGAGGGUGAAAAAGAUGAAAAAAAUCAAAAGUCAGGAAAAAAUUUUCAAAAUUUUUUCAAAAGAAAAAAGGAAAAAUUAUACCCUCAAAUCCCUAGUU